This 19404-nucleotide long non-coding RNA is filed under the name Lactuca sativa (garden lettuce). Its description in RNAcentral is "long non-coding RNA (LSAT_LNC004973)". The record is from RNAcentral. Lineage: Eukaryota; Viridiplantae; Streptophyta; Magnoliopsida; Asterales; Asteraceae.
GGGAUGUUACAGUCUUCAUCUUGUACAAAUUGAAAUCGUUUUUUGUCUUCAUCUUGUAGAAACUGAAAUCAUAUUUUGUCUUCAUCUUGUACAAAUUGAAAUCUUUUUUCAAUCUUAAAAUCUUCAUUUCCAUUGAGCUUGUGUUUGGUUCUGCUUCAUCUUGGUCCGGUUUAUUGGUUCUUAAUCAACCCAUUUCCAAAACUUAGAACUUUUCUUAUUUGGAUCCUUCAUAUUCAGAAAAAAAAAUCAGGUAAUGAAGAAAUUAUUUAGGAGAAAGGUAAGAUAAAGCUUUCAAACACACUUACCAAAGAGUAAGGACAAACCCUAACUUUCUGUCAGGAUUGGCCUUGGUGGUUGAUGACCACGUUCGAGCAAUGUACCCACAAUCACAAAGCUUCCCAUCUUCAAGUGUCCUCUUUGAUUUGGAAAUGUUGGUGCUUGACUUGGAGAUCAUGGAUUUAAAGGAAGAAGAAGAAGCCAUAAAAGAAGGAAGAAGUCGUUCACAGAGGAGGAGAUUUUUGUCACAGUUCAUUUCAUUAAAAAUGGGUUAUAUAACUGAAAAUAUUCUAUUGUUAUGACAACUAAGCAAUCUACAUGUCAAAUAUAAUGCCAAGUCAACCAUUAACUAAACUACCGGAUUACCAUGGUUAAGAUAAGAACAAAACAUGAUGUUAGAUGUUAUUUUUAUAUAAAUUCAUUAGUUUAUUGGUAUUUUUUAUACUAAAAAAAUACAAUAAUAUUUUUAAAACUUUGUUACCUUUUCAAAUCAAUGGUAAUCUACUCUAUAUUUUACUAUUUUAUGCAAAUUAAAGGGAAAUUCCCUUUCCUGUGCGUCAGCAUUUAUGCAUGGCUUAAAAGCUGCGUCGUGAGAAGUAUAAAAUCCCCAACCGAUACCAUACCAUAGCUGUAGCCCAGAAAAUCUUCCCUCUCUCAUUUUUCUUGUUUCUCCCAUUAUCUUCGAAACAUUUACAUCAUAUCACCGCCAAUACACACUUCAGCAUCGAAUCUUCCAACCACAGAACACCCACCUUUCGCCCAACGCCAUCUUCAUGUUUCCUCAUCACUCUCUAUCUAGAUGGAUACAAAUUCUCUGUAUAAAUAACAAGAAACGUUUUAGGUUUUGAUUUUCUUGAUAAAAAGAUGAAGAACAUUAGAUCGUGUGAAGAGAUCGGCAUUCUGCAACACGAUUUGGUAAGACGUGAACCCUUACUUGUUUUUCUCUAAUUCGUGCUUGUGUUUCGUCAAUUUCUACGUAAACCUACUUCAGUUUUCGAUGGAUUUUUGUUGAUUUGAGUUUUAUAAAAUCUUAAGCUCAAUUUGAAAUCAAUUGUUUCAACAAUGAAAAAACUGCAUUCUUUUCAUGAAUCUUAUACGACAUUUCACAAAAUGAUUCAGUGUGAGUAGGAUUUUCUUUACUCUAGUUAUUCUCUUGUUCUCUUUUGUUACUAAUUUCCCCCAAAAACAUGCUUGUGUUUGUUUUUUAUCCUCAAUUUUACUUUCUCAAACAGGUCUUAAUGAAUUGAACCUUAAUGGAGACACGAUUUAAUGAACUUAAUGGAGACUCUCUUUCUUUACUUAAAUCAAAGAGAAAUUCAAAAUAAAGGAGCUUUUUAUAGUUAACCCUCAACAUUAUAAUCAUUUGAUCAAAGCUCAAAUUUAUUUUAUUUAAUUAUAAAGUAAAACCUUGCAUGUGUAUGGAGGGUAUUCAGAUUCCUUUCACUAAUAAGUUUGUUAGCUUAAAAGAACAUAACAAAUAGUUGUGUCCCAAUUUUAUAAAAGCAAACAGUUAUUAUCAGUUGUCUCCAUUUAUUAUGCCAAAUUUUCAAUACUCAAAAUUUCAAACUUAAUGUCAAGGGGACUAAGUAAUCGAAGCAUGGUUUGAGGCUUGUAUUUUUCAACUAGAAAUCAUUCUAUUCCUUUUGGAGUGUUAAAUUCCUUGCAUUGUUUGAUGAAAAUUUGGUUCUUAAAGUUGAAUUAUUUCACCAUUAUGAUGGAGAAUGUUACAACUGCUUUUCUUAAACCAUGAUUUACAAUGACUAGAAUGAGUAACUAAAUUUCAACAUGAAUUGCAGGAUGAGUUACAAAAAUCAGACAUGCAUGCAGAUGAUUACAAAAACACAUCAGCUAUACUUAGAACAAGACUCGAAAGACUGUUGAAGGAAAGAGAGUUAAGAAAAUCUUCCAGGAGUACUCAAACUGAUGAUUUUCAUGGAAAUGAUAAUAGUAGUAAUAAUAAUAACAAUAAUAAUACGAUUGGGAAUCGUAAAAUAUUUUCAACAGGGACCCAUCCUGAUGAAGAAUUACGAAUUCACCCUCCAACAAACAGUCAACGUUUAUUAGUAGUAGCAAAUCGUCUACCUGUUUCUGCCACUAGAAAGGGUGAUGCAUCAUGGCAACUUGAAAUGAGUGUUGGGGGUUUAGUCAGUGCACUUUUAGGUGAGGUUUUUUUUUUUUUUACUAAUGGUUGAUUAUCAGGGAAAAUUGCAGUAAAUAGUAACAUAUUAUUAUUUCUUUUCUAAACACCAUUAAAAUAACCAAAUUAAGUGCUAUCUAGAUAAAGUGUUUUCCUUAUGUUUAUAUUUGAAAAGAUUCUAAAGGGGGAAAACUUUGAUAAAGGUAUAACUGAAUUUGAAACAAGAUGGAUCGGAUGGGCUGGAGUAAAUGUAACUAAUGAAAUCGGGAAGAAAUCACUCACCAAAGCUUUAGCUGACAAGGUUGACUGUAUGUAUAUUUAUUUAUAAAGGGUUAAAAAAAAACAACCUUCAUAGCAUCCUACUCUCAUUUCUUUCUAUUAUAGAUUGUGUAUAUAUAAACGGUUAAAUGAAGAAAAUCGCAACGUUUAUAGCAUCCUACUUUUGUGAGUAGAUUUUUAAAAAUCCAAUGCCUUAAUAAGAAGAAAAAAAAACCAAAAGUACAAUGAUAUAAAAAAUACAAUGCGUUUUUAUAAGAGAAAAACUAAAUUAGAAUGUUGUAAUAGAAAGAAAUGGAAGUAUGAUGCUAUAACACGCAAAUAAAUUAAAGCACGUUGCUAUUCUUCCAUUUAUUCAUGUUUAAAGAAGAUGUGUUAAUAUUUUGAAGAAAAAAAAAACAAGGUUGUUACUCUAGCAAUUGUUGGUAUGCAGAGGUGUGUCCCGGUUUUUCUUGACGAAGAUCUUGUUAAUCUGUAUUACAACGGAUAUUGUAAUAAUAUCUUAUGGCCUCUCUUCCAUUACCUUGGUCUCCCACAAGAGGAUCAUCUUGCUACUACUCGUAGUUUUCAAUCUCAAUUUGAUGCUUACAAGAAAGCUAAUCAGUUGUUUGCUGAUGUGGUGAGUGAGCAUUAUAUAGAAGGGGGUGUCAUUUGGUGUCAUGAUUACCAUUUGAUGUUUCUACCUAAAUAUUUGAAAGAACGUAAUAAUAAGAUGAAAGUUGGUUGGUUUCUACACACACCGUUUCCUUCCUCCGAGAUUCAGAGAACACUCCCUUCCCGAUCUGAGCUGCUACGAGCCGUUCUUGUAGCCGAUCUUGUUGGGUAAAGACUUACAUUCUAAAAUUUGUUCCGUAAAAAUAUUAGCCCCUUUCAGCCUCAAUCACUACUUUCAUCCCUAAGGCUAUGUUUGUUACACUAUGUCCUAGACAGUCUGGCGGGAAGACGACUCAGAACAGACAGUCUGCCUUUUGGGCAGACUAUCUGGCUUGGGCAAAAAGUCUGCCCUGUCCCGUGUCCUGUCCUGGACAGAUGGGCAGACUGUCUGUCUGUCCCGUCCUGGAGUCUAUCUUGGAUGGGACACACGUUUGUUUUGGACGGGACAGACAGUGUAUGGACAAAUUGUCAGUCCUAUGCCUAACGGAGAUAGUAUUGAUGCUAACAUGUGCUAUAUAUAUGUCAGCUUCCACACUUAUGAUUAUGCAAGGCACUUUGUGAGUGCAUGUACUCGAAUUCUUGGCCUUGAGGGUACUCCUGAUGGAGUGGAGGAUCAAGGGAAACUUACUCGUGUUGCUGCGGUAAAUUACUUGAUCAUCUUUCGUUUAUAUAUANNUAUAUAUAUAUAUAUAUAUUCAGUUAUAUAUAUUUUGUUAUGUUUUAUGAGCACAAAACUUAGAAUCUUGAAGCAGCUACUGAUUCAGAUUCAUAUAUUGGGUUUUGAAAGCACAGUUUCCUAUUGGGAUAGAUCCUGGUAGGUUUAUACGAGCAAUUCAACUUCCUCAAAUCAAAGAACAUAUAAAAGAAUUGGAGGAGAGAUUUGCUGGUCGAAAGGUAAAUCAUAAUCUACCUGUGUAUGCACUACCAAAACAAAUCUUUUUCAAGGGAUGCAAUACAAUAUGGAAUUUUCAAAUUUUCAAUAAUUUGUUACACUACAAAAAAACUAAAAGUUUCUUUUCAGGGUAUGCACAUGCAUAUCUUGGCAUUUCUCAUUGGUUUUUUUUUUAUAUGAAGGUAACGUUAGGAGUCGAUCGCCUUGACAUGAUUAAGGGAAUUCCACAAAAGAUUUUGGCAUUUGAAAAAUUCUUGGAAGAAAAUCCGGAUUGGCAUGACAAAGUGGUGUUGCUUCAGAUUGCAGUGCCAACAAGAACAGAUGUUCCCGAGUGUAUGCUUUCAAUCAUUUUAAGGGUUAAAUGCAAGAAAUAACAACAUACUUUUGUUUAUUUGUUUAUUUAUUAUUUAUAAGAUCUUACUUUUAUUUUAUCCUAUUACAACAUUGUAAUUUGAAAUAGCUACCCAGUUAAAAUGCUAAAAUUGGGUAGGAUUUUUAAAGUACAAUGCCUUAAUAAUAAAAAGAUUGAAAUUAUAUUAUUCUACUGGAAAGAAAUGAAAGUAGGAUGCUAUGAUACACAAAUAAAUAAAAGUAUGUUGCUAUUUCUUUUUUCCUUUAUGAUUAAUGGAUCAAUUAUCGAAGCAUGAAACUCGUGUCAUUUCUAUUUUUGUUCUUUGUGGAUUAACAGAUCAAAAGCUCACAUGUCAAGUUCAUGAAAUUGUUGGAAGAAUUAAUGGAAGAUUUGGGAGCCUUACAACUGUCCCUAUUCAUCAUUUGGUUUGUCUUUUCUUUUAAUUGAAAAACAUCUUGUUGAAUCUUGAGUUAAAACACAAGAUAUUGAUUCAAUGUAUAAUGGUUGAUUAUUAUAUUAUCAAGAAAUAUCUUAAAACUUGAAUAAUUUGUAUUCGAUCCCCCCCUCCCCCCUACAAAUACUGUUAUACCUUUGGGAGCAAUACUAAUAAGAGUACACUCAUGCAAAUGGGAGAAAAAGGUUAAUUAAACUACAAAAUACAAGAUGAUGAUUGUGUGAAAGAUUCUUCUCUUCUUGUAGAUGCAUCAAUAGAAUAAUAUCCCAUGAUUUUUUAGCCUUGAAAUCUGUGAUUCCUUUUCUUUAUACAGGAUCGCUCUCUUGACUUUCAUGGAUUAUGUGCAUUAUACGCCAUUACGGGUAUGCUUUAACCCCUACCAAAUCAUGUGUUAUGCUGUUUGAAUGCAAGAAAUAACGUACUUUUAUUUAUUUGUCUAUUAUAACAUCUCACUUUCAUUUCUUUCUAUUACAACAUUGUAUUUCCUUUUUUUUUUCUUAUUAACAUAUUCUACUUUGAAAAGAUACCCAAUUAUAGCUUUAUACUUUCAAUUUUUUUGAAAUGGAAGUAGGAUACUAUAGCACAUAAAUAAUUGAAAGUAGUUUGCUCUUUCUUGCAUUUUAACCCUAUGUUAUGCACUUGUACUUUACUCAUAGAUGCUAAACUAUGCUUCUUUCUCCCUUUAAAAGUCUCAAUUAACAAGUCCUUUUUUGCUACCUAACACAAUCAUAUUUUCUCGAAUUGGUGGAUAAAGUGAUAUACAAUUUUUUUUUACAUAGAUGUGGCUCUUAUUACAUCAUUAAGGGAUGGAAUGAAUCUUGUGAGUUAUGAAUUUGUAGCUUGUCAAGCUUCAAAGAAAGGCGUUCUAAUCUUAAGUGAGGUAUUUAUUCCUAAUUGUUAUUCAAUCACUACAAAAAGAUAGUCAAGUGGGUAAAUUGAAAAAAAAAAUUGGUAAAAGUACAUUGUUAGUUUUCUUUUCUCUAUUUUUCCAAAAAAAAAAAAAGUAAGUGCAUAGUUAUUAAACAUUACAAUUUUCAUGGAAGGGAUGAAGUAGUAAUUUGUAUGUUUCAUACACAUAGUUUGCAGGAGCAGCACAAUCUCUAGGUGCAGGGGCAAUUUUGGUAAAUCCAUGGAACAUUACAGAAGUAGCUUCUUCAAUUGGUUAUGCUCUAAAUAUGCCUGCUGAGGAAAGGGAAAAAAGACACCACCAUAACUUUGUCCAUGUCACUAGUCAUACAUCCCAAGAAUGGGCUGAAACAUUUGUUAGGUAUGCAUCUUAUUUGUUUACCAAAUAUUAUCAAUUCACUUUAUUUUUUUAUCAAUUAAAUAAAUGUAAAUGUAAGCAUGUGGUUUAUUUAUUGUCUUGAUGUGUAGUGAAUUGAAUGAUACAAUUGUGGAAGCUCAAUUGAGGAUUAGACAAAUUCCACCUCUACUUGAAACAAAUGAAGCAGUUGACCGAUAUUUGGAUUCGAACAACCGUUUACUCAUUUUGGUAUUCUCUCCCUUUAAAUUAAAUACAAAAAAAAAUGUUGUUCUAAAAUUAGUUUGUAUACUUUCAACUUCAUAGGGGUUUAAUUCAACACUGACUGAACCUAUGGAUACGGGUAGACAAUUCGAUCAAUUCAAAGAAAUGGAACCCAGACUACACCCUGAAGCAAAAGAAGCUUUAAAGAGACUUUGUGAUGAUCCAAAGACUACAGUAGUCAUCUUAAGUGGAAGCCAUCAUUCUGUCCUUGAUAAGGUAUUAAAUGUAGACCUGGCAAUUUCAGACACGAAGACACGAAUCUGUGAGAGACACGACACGACACGAAUACAUCUUAAAAAUUGAGAUAAAGCUUAUUUCUCAUUGUGUAAUCAUAUCGUGUCAAAUUUGUGGCUGACACGAAUAAACGAAUUGCCAGGUCUAAUUAAAUGCAAGAAAUAGGCAUCUCAUAUCAUUAGCAAAUAAAAUGUUGGUGUUUUAUUUGAUGAAUAUGCAGAACUUUGGAGAAUUAAACAUAUGGUUAGCUGCUGAACAUGGAGUAUUUUUAAGAACACCCAAUAAAAAAUGGACAAGAAACAUGCCUCAAGUACACAUGGAUUGGGUUGAUAGUGUCAAGGUCAGUCCAUUCAGCCAACAUUUCCCCUUUUCGAUAUCAUCAUGAGCAUGUGCCACAAACCCUAAACACUUUUGUCUAAAAUUUAAACUGUUUAUAAAUAUUUAGUGUGUGUUGAAUAUGAUUAUACAAUUACAAUAAUAAUCGAUUGAAAUCAUAUCCUUGGGAGACUUUAUGAUAUGUUGAUUUCAGCACGUGUUUGAGUAUUUCACCGAGAGAACUCCUCGAUCUCAGUUUGAGCUUCGUGAGACAUCAUUGGUUUGGAAUUAUAAGUAUGCAGGUUAGGUUAUUAUCGUCGUCAAUUUAUAUUUCCUUUUAUAUAUAUAUUAUAUAUGUUUUUAGAUUAAUUCGAUUUUCACUUUAAUUAUGGGCUACAGAUAUCGAGUUUGGAAGGCUUCAAGCUAAAGACAUGUUGCAGCACCUUUGUACAGGACCCAUAUCAAAUGCAUCCGUAGAAGUUGUUCAGGGUGGCAGGUCCGUUGAGGUUCGCACCACUGGAGUCACCAAGGUUUCCCCUUCUACNNNNNNNNNNNNNNNNNNNNNNNNNNNNNNNNNNNNNNNNNNNNNNNNNNNNNNNNNNNNNNNNNNNNNNNNNNNNNNNNNNNNNNNNNNNNNNNNNNNNNNNNNNNNNNNNNNUAUAUAUCCCAUGGGCAUGUCCCAUCCCAUGUGACAUGCCAUACUGUAUUUGAUGUGCAUUGGACUGGGACCGAUGUCAAAAGGACUUGCUCGGGAUCUCUCGACUCUGCAAAAAGACAUAAAUGCUCUCCUCAUCCUCAUCAUUGAAAAUAGCCCUAGAAAACUUUUCUAGUCUCGUCCCAUGUAACAAAAUGCAUUUUGUUACACUUGAUAGGAAAUGACAGACUGAACAAGCUUUUUAGGGCUAUGUUUGAUGGUGAGGAUGAGAAGGGUAUACACGUCUUUUUCACAUACAACAGAUCAAGAGGGAUUCCUUCCUGCUUUUUUGCGUGAGACAAAAAUUUGCAACUUUAUCAUGUGAUCCGUUUUUCUCCAAUCCUUUUUAGGGUGCAGGAAUUAAACGUAUUUUAGGACAAGUGAUACAUUAUAAAGACACAAGGGAACCAAUCGACUAUGUUCUAUGUGUGGGACAUUUCCUCCCCAAGGUAAAUAUAUAUACCUUUCCAUCUAACCAAAAUACUAUCAUAUACAUACAACUCACUAUCUCUAUAAUCUAUUUAAAUCCUUAUUGUAUUAGGAUGAAGAUCUUUACACAUUUUUUGAGCCAGAGCCACCUACUCCGGUGAGGUCAAGUUUAUCGACCCCGGUCAACGGAUCAUCUUCGGAUCGAAACGGGUCCACAGGACAUAAAAAAUCUCAUCCGUUUCCACCUUCCAACAGCAAACAUAUUAGCAAUGGGGACAAAAAAGAUGCCACACCAUCAAUUCUUGAUCUCAAUAGUAAUAAUUACUUCUCUUGUUCAGUCAAAAGAAAGCGAUCCAGUGCUAGGUAUCUCUUAAGUUCAUCAGCCGAUGUUGUCUCGCUGUUAAAACAAAUGGCAGAUGUUUUAUAGUCGUAAUAAUAGUGAAUACACACACACACACACAAAAUGUUAACAGUGAUAAAUACAUUGCUAGCAUGGAUAAAAGGUAUUUCUUGCAAUAGUAACUCAUGUUACAAAUCUCAAAAGCUAGAAAAAUGUUCUAAAAUGCACUUCUGUGGGGCCCCUUGAGUCGGUGGAUUGCACAUUUUUGUUUUGAAAGUUGUCGGCUUGCCAAUUUUUUCUACACUUGUUGAUAGCAAAUUUUUGUGUAGCUUUUAAGAUGUGGAAAGCAGUCACCUCCUUGUAUGAAAAAUUCACUGAGCUAUUUACAUAUUAUUUUGAGUGCAAUAAUAUUGGAAUUUGUUUAUAUGGUUUAUAGAUCGUGUGGGGAAAUAAGAAACAUUAUAUUAUGUAUUAAUGUAUGAGAAAUUGAGAAUAGUAUUUUGUUGAUUGUGUACUACAUUAAUUUGGUAAAAGUUUAAAAACGAUUUUUUUUCUUAAAAAAAAAUCAGAGAAGACAUUUUUGUUACAAGGUACAAACUAUUAUUGUAAACAUGGAUAACAUACAAUACAAUGGAUCCAAGGGUUAUUUCCAAUUAUAUACAAGUGGGAUGAGUUAUAACGAGGACAUUUUUGUCUUUUCCACAUAUGAAAGAUCUAACAACAAGACCAUGUCCCACCUUUUCUGAGUAGGACAAAAAAAUAUAACUUUUGUCCAACUGACAUUAGUCAAAGUCCCAUGUCACAUGUCAGACAAACACAGUACAACCUGUUAUGUCUGUAUUGGUGCUACACAAUGAGUUGUUAUAGAUUCUAUUCAUCUGAUGUGUAUCUUCUAACCCUAACUCGUUCACCUUUAAAAUGAAUGUAUUUCCAUUGACUUAAGUAUUUUUUAAGGACUAAUUGUUGUUUUUCCUUUUCACCCACUAUUUGAAAAGCACGCGCAACUUUCCUUGUGGUGUCCUCAUCUGGUUUCACUCCAAGUUCCUCCAUGUCUGCAAACACCUGAUUCAUUAUUUACAAGAGAUUAAACUUUACUACAACUUACACAAUAAUUUAAGUUGUAUGUAUGUUGGAAAGCAACAGGAAUUGUUUACCUCUAUAAUAUUUUGGGGCAUGUUAUGAUGAGCAUAAAUGGAUAUGAUUCUUGAAAACAACCUUUUUGAGAUUGAUCUUUCAUGUGUAUGCAAAAUCAUGUUCCAAAAUGACUCUGCUUCAUCUACCCUUUGCUCCAUAUCAAAUGCGUGUAGGAGGGUGUCAAAUGUUCCCAUUGUCAUUCCUUGACCUUUCCCAAACAUCCAUUUCGCCACCUGUACAAUGCCAUGUGUUUGGAAGCUUUUUUAAAAAAAUAUAUAAAUAUAUAUGUUGAGAACAUACUUGAAUGACUCGUUUCCAUUGUUUGCGUUGUUUAAGGAUAUUAAGAGCUUUGGCAACUGCAAUCACUGGGAAUUCUGACUCCCAAGCUGUCCAUUUAUCAAGUUCUCCAUAAACAGCUUCUUUCUCAUUUGGCAAACCACAAACCUGUAAGUAAAUUCACAAAUUUAAUAACUUUAAUAACAAUAAAAAAUAAUAAUAAUAAUAAUAAUAAGCACUUACAAUCCGAACAAGAUUCAAUGCCUUUUGGCCAGAUGCAGCAGAAUCUCUCUUAUUCCAUAAGUGGUGUUCUGUCUUACUUGGCUUUUUGGCAACUUUUCUGCAAUAUUUGUUAAUAAAACUUUAACCUCAACAAUCAAAAUCCUUAAAACAACAAACUAAGUCACAACAUGUCUCAAUAGAUUAUUUAAUAUACAAAGAAAAAUGCAUGAUGACAAAUGGCAGGAAUAAAAGAUAAUUUCAAAAUUGUUGUAUAGAUCUUGAUGACAGAAAAACUUGGUGAAUAGUUAAAAGGGGGAAAAUAGUUCAUUAAGAUUUCGAAAAGGGUGGUUUAGUAAAUAAUCAUAAAUCAAAAUAAAGAAAACAAAGAAGUAGCUUGCUUACCUGUCCACAUCAUUUAACUUGAUGAGCUGUCGAGAACUUUGAUUCUUGGAACACUUGACAACAUGCCAAAUUUCCUGUGUAAAGUCUCAAAAUCAUGAAUUUAAGAGAGGAAACAAAGGCAACUAACAUUCGAAUGUAUUUUAAUAGUGAUUAAAAUGAGAAAACAAGCAGAAUGUUAUAACAAACAAUUGAAAAAACAAGAAAAUUGAUUUGUAUUUAUAAAGGACUCAGUUUGGCAUCAAAGAGAAAAAAACAAGAAAAUUGAAAACAAAUAAAGGGUUGAAUGGUAGGAAUGUAUGUUUACCUUUUGUCUAAUGGAAGGGGUUUUAAUAAAGGAGGAAUCUUGGAUUCCAAACACACCUAUCUAACAACAAGAAUAAGAAACAAAUACAAAAUGAAUAUAAGAUUUAAAGUAGAAGGAAGCUUAGAAAAGACCAUUCUUUUGACCUGAUGAAAUUGGAAAUGACAUUUGAGUUGUCAGCAUGCUUUGUGCUUUCAACAUCUUUGAUCUAUAAACUUCUGUUGGUGGAUCUGAAUAUGAAGCUUUUGCAAUGAAUUGUUAAACUUUCUAAAAAUCAACACCACCUUAUAAACAUAUAUCAUCAAAUAAUAGUACAUAAUCAUAUUGCACUUUUGCCAAAAUCAAAUUCAUACUGAUUUUUAGCAUAUAAAAAUAAUUAGCAGCUAGAUUAACCUUAAUGAAUCGUAAAAGAAAACGGUACCCACUACUUAAUUAGCAAGUGUUUUUUUUUUUUGUAAUUUGCAAAAUUCAUACAUCUGACAUAGUCUGAAUUUAACUUAUAUGUACACAAAUAAACUCAAAUAUAAAAAUCUUUAACUUAAGGCUGCUGAUUUGACUAAUCCAAGUUUUGUAAAAACGUAACGAUUUCUCAAGAGUUGAAAUUAACAAAAAAUUUGGGGAGUUUGAAGUUAGGUUACAAUAUACCUUUUUCUUGGUUAUGUACAAAAAGAGAAAUGAAUGGAAUGAAAAUACUUAACAAUUACAAAAAUACCCAUACAACACAAAAUUCAUAGAAUUCAAUAUAUUCAACAUAAUCUAGUCAAAACUUAUAGUUUUUAUCAUAAUAAUGAGAUACUAAUUGAACUAAAAAACAUAUCAAAGUCUUUUGACUUUUAUUUUGUUAUGUGACUAAUUGAACUCAAUCUUUAAUCAAAUUAUAUAGUUUAGCCACAUUAACUUUCCCCAACUACAAUCUUUAAUCAAAUUCUCUACCUGUAAUUGCCACAUAACAAAAUAAAAGUCAAAAGACUUUGAUAUGUUUUUUAGUUCAAUUAGUAUCUCAUUAUUAUGAUAAAAACUAUAAGUUUUGACUAGAUAAUGUUGAAUAUAUUGAAUUCUAUGAAUUUUGUGUUGUAUGGGUAUUUUUGUAAUUGUUAAGUAUUUUCAUUCCAUUGCAUUUCUCUUUUUGUACAUAACCAAGAAAAAGGUAUAUUGUAACCUAACUUCAAACUCCCCAAAUUUUUUGUUACUUUCAACUCUUGAGAAAUCGUUACGUUUUUACAAAACUUGGAUUAGUCAAAUCAGCAGCCUUAAGUUAAAGAUUUUUAUAUUUGAGUUUAUUUGUGUACAUAUAAGUUAAAUUCAGACUAUGUCAGAUGUAUGAAUUUUGGUUGUUUGGCAGGAUCUGAAUUUUUAAGAGCUGAAUUUUUAAGUAGUCUGAAUUUCUAAGAGGGUCUGAAUUUUUAAGAUCUGAAUUUUCAAAUGUUGUUUGGUUGGAACCUCUGAAUUACAGUGCUGAAUUAUAAAAAUGACUAUUUUACCCUUCUAUUUUAUUUUUCGCUUAAUUUAAUAAUUUUUUUUAUAAAAUAACCAAAUACCAAAUCAACUUUUUUUAUAAACACUAUAUAAAAUCCAAAUUAAACAUAACUGAAAAUUAAUAUUAAUCCAAAUCAAACAUAACACUGUCAACAAUAAAUUUCAACAUAUUUCAGCAAAUGAAAAAAAAUCAGCAACUUAUAUUAGCAAUUAGGAACACAUUUUCUAUAAAAAAAAUCUAUCUGAAGAAUCAGUUGAACUUGUAUAAAAAUUUUAUGAAGAACCAAUCCUCUCAUGUAUAUUCUUCAUUACUAACCAUGAGCUACACCACAAAUCAAUGGAAACAUGACGAAGGAAGAACCAAUCAAGUAUGAAUCAAAAUAAUUAUACCUAAUUACAUCUACUGUUUAUUAAUUUCCUAUACGAAAAACAAAAUUAAUACCUAUGAAAAGAAAAAAAAAACUGUAGAAAAACAUAAAACUGGGAGUGAAUUUCAAAACUCGAUUUUUAGACAUAAAUUUCUGCCUAGAUUCUUAAAAAUCUCGAUUUCAAACAAUUUUCAGGUUUCAAUUUCGAUUUUAAUAACUCGAUUAUGAGAAAAUCGAUUUCAAAUUGGAGAAUGAAAAACACACCCACAGAGAAAGACUGGAGGAAGGCGGUGACCGGUGGUGGUUGUUGGAGAAAUCGAUUUCAUAAACUCAAUUUAAGAAAAUCGAUUUCAGAAAAUUUGGGAGUGAUAGAAUUUCAGGGUGCGUUUAGUUGCGGAAAAAUGAGCCGUUUUCCGGAAAAAUUUUCCAAGAAAAAUGAGAAUUUUGAAAACACGUUUAGUUCGUCUAUUUUUCUAAAUUUUUCAUGGAAAAUGAAAAUUUUCCGUUUUCUAAAAUUACAAAUAGGUUGGAAAUUUUUGGAAAACUGAUAAUCAUUGUUUUCUAUAUUUUUCUAAUUAAAAAUUUUUCUAAAAUAUAAACACACACCCACUCCCACCCCAUUCACCUCUACCUACCCCCACCUUAACACCCUUCACCCACCCACACAUACAUACCCACCCCCACACACACCCACCCGCGCACACACACACACCAACCCACAAACACACACACAUACAUACCCACCCACACACUCACCCACUCGCACACACCAACCCACAAACACACACACACAUACAUACCCACCCACACACACACCCACCCACGCGCGCACACACACACACUAACCCACAAACACACACACAUACAUACCCACCCACCCACACACCCACCCGCGCACACACACACACCAACCCACAAACACACACACACACGUACAUACCCACCCACAUACUCACCCACCCGCACACACCAACCCACAAACACACACACACACAUACAUACCCACCCACGCGCACACACACACACACACCAACCCACAAACACACACACACAUGCAUACCCACCCAUCCACACACACACACACACAUAUACAUACCCACACACACACACCCGCACACACACAUACAUACCCACCCACACACACACACCCACCCGCACACACACACACCAACCCACAAACACACACACAUAUAUAUAUACCCACCCACCUACACACAUACCCGCACACACACACAUACAUACCCACCCACACACACACACCCGCACACACACACCAACCCACCUACACACACACACACCCUCCCGUACACACACACAUACAUACCCACCAACGCAGCCACACACACACACAAACACAUUCACACACCCCCACAAACACACACCCACACACACACAAACCCACACCUACNCCCCCCCCACACACACACAAACCCACACCCACCCCCACCCCCACCCCCACCCUCACAGACCCACACCCAUACACACACAAACCCACACAUACCCCCACAAACACACACAUACACACAUAAAAACACACACUCGCACCCCCAACCACCCAACACCACCACCACAAUCACCGACCUACCACCACCACUACUAACCCGUCACUAGCACCACCACCACCGCUGCCGCCACCAUCACCACCACUACUGACACAAUUGCCGCCGCCACCACCAUCGCCUGUCAUCACCACCACCGUCGUCGACCCGCUACCGUCACCGCCCCCACCCACACCCUACCAACGCUACCGUUUUCUAAAAAUAAAAACCGAUGGAAAAAUACACAUCUAAACAUGUUUUCUAAUUUUCUAAAAUUGAAAAUGAAAAACGAAUAAGUUUAACUAAACGCGUUUUCUAAAUUUUUCAAUGAAAAAUAAAAACGAAAAAUUAAAAUCGAAAAGGGAAAACAAAAAACGGAAAAUGAAAAUUGUUUUUCCGUAACUAAACGCAACCUUAGUGUUUCAAAAGUUAUAAAAUCCUGACUUUUAGGGCUUUUUAAUAUGAAAAGAUGACUUUUAAUACAAACACAUUUUAAAAAUGACUAUAUUUUGAAAAAAGUCCCUAACCAAAAAAUCAUUUUACAAAAAGAAUUUUUAACAUCAAAAAUAAUCCCAAACACCCCUAAGAUGGACUUUAUUCCUAUUUCCAUUGGUCACAAACUACUACUUCUUGAAUUCUUGUCGCCUUGUUCAAUGCGUAUCAACUAUUUAUUUCAAAAACUAAUAUUAAAUUCUUGCUCAAUUUAUGUAACAAAACACUCUAGUUUCCGUAGUAUUUAACUACACUAAAUGACAUGGCAUUUUGUUAAGGAUGUACAUAGGAUUUUUUUUAAAGCCAUAUAGGAUAAGAUAAUGAUAGCAUCUAUAUACUAUGUUGUAAUUUUGUAAGGAGUGGUAGCAAGUAGCAACUAAAUAUUACUGUUAUUUUAUUUUGGAAUAAAAUAAAAAGAAAAAGAACCCAUUUCUCUUCUCUUUCAUGCCUUCAAGUAGACUUUUCGUAUGCCUAUGGUAAAUGAAAAUCCAUGUACCAAGCUUCAAAUUUACACUACAUUUUCCCAUGACUCAUAAUAUAUUCGAAGUCAACUCUUUUAAAGAAACUAUUUUGUUAAUACUAAAAAUCUAAUACAUGCAACCCUAACAUUCGUUAAUGUGCACAAACUAAUUCUUUACAUUGAGUUAACCACACUAUAACCCGGAGGCUUAUGAACACCUACUCCAACCAUAACAUUCCUCAAAAAGGCAGCAUGACCCCAAUUCUCAACAUCAGCAUAAAGACUCGAUAAAACUAUAUAUUGACCACAUUGUUGAGGGUCUACCUCAAGAAGCCUUUUAGCCACCUCAUUUCCUAAAUCAAUAUCCCCAUGAAGUUUACAAGCUCCCAAAAGAGCACCUAAAACAGAGGCAUCAGCCUCAAAUGGCAUCCUACUUAUGAAAUCUUUUGCUUCUGCUAAAAACCCUGAUCUACCCAAUAAAUCAACCACACAUCCAUAAUGUUCCAUUUUUGGAACAACACCAAAUUGAGGCAACAUUGAGUAGAAUAAUUCUAAACCUAAAUUUAUAAGGUUGCAAUUUGAAGAAGCAGCAAGAAUCCCAACAAAAGUAACUUCAUUUGGAUGAUACCCUUCAAUCUUCAUCUUAUCAAACAUUUCUAAAACCUUUUUGUCUUUUCCAUGUGAAGAUAGAGCACAAAUCAUUGCAUUCCAUGUGCAUGUUUCCUUUUUCAACAUACUUUCAAACACUUUUGUGGCGUAAUCUAAAUGACCCGUUUUCCCAUAUAAAUAUAUCAGUGAUGUCCCGAUAAAGGGAGUUAUUUGAUUCUCGUUCUUGAUAAUAUACCCAUGUAUCUGCUUCCCAAAUGUAACAGAAUGAGCACAAGCAGAAAGUACACUAACGAAUGUAGCUUCAUUAGCUUUCACAGAACAAUCUCUUAAACACCUUUGAAAAAACCGAAUUGCAGUGUCGUAACACCCUCUCUUGCUGUACCCGUUGAUGAUGGUAGUCCAUGAAUAAACAUCCCUCACAGGCAUUGAUUCGAAGAAGGAAACAGCAGAACCCAUAUCCCCAUUCUUGCAAAACCCAUCAAGCAUAGCGUUACAGGAAACAAGGCAUGGUUCAGGCAUUUCAUCGAACACCUUUUGUGCAUAGGAAAGACAGUUGCUUUUAGCAUACAAAUGAAUGAAUGAUGUUUGUACAAAGGGAUCUGAUAAUACUCCGCGCUUGAGGGCUUGAGUGUAAAGGGGUUUAGCGAUGAGGGAAGGGGUUGUAUAAGCAGCAACGGUGGCUUUGGUUAGUGAAGGGAAAGUAUGGGGGUUUGGUGGGAUGUUAUGGGAAAGCAUGUGGGUGAAAAGGAGUAAGGUAGUGUGAGGGAGAUGGAUAUUGAGGUAAGCUCUGAUGAGAGUGUUGUAGAGUAAGGUGGGUAUCCAUUUGAAGGUAGAUGAGUUGGGGUUAGGGUUAGGGUUAGGGAGGAGAUUACCGCUGAUGAUGAGGAGGGAAUGGAUUUGCUUGAUUUGGAUGGAGUUUUUGAUGAAACGUUGAAGGAGUUGCAGUAGAGAUUCCGGCGAGAGAAACAUCCCGGAGCCAAUUCAUUGGAUGGUCAGCUGAAGUAACGAGACAGUAUAAGAUACGUAUUUAAUUAUUAAUUAAAAAUUUUAAAAUGCAAGCAUAGAUUCUGAAUUUUAAUAAGGAAAAUAGAAACGACAAAAUUUCACCUAUUUUUAUAUUUUUUUUAAAAAGAAUAUCCAAAAAAAAAAAUUACAUAUAUAGCUAUCAAAAUUGUAGAUGGGCUUUUUGUCAUUUUGCAGUGACGAAAUCGUAGAUAGCAAUGAUUUCUUCCGACAUGUUAACUUUACAUUCUAUUAAUUCAAUAAGCAUCAUGUUAACUUUACAUGCUAUUAAUUCAAAAUUAUGUACUCAAAGCUGCAUGGUUUCAUUCUACAGUUCAUCCCUCAACUAAUACUAACCAUAGAAAAUAUGUGAGUCGAUCUUAAACGUAAUAUGCAUCAUAGCUUAAAAAAGUUUGGUUUUUAAAUGCAUAAAACUAACUAGAACAAGGUAUUAUCAUGACGGAUCUAAUAAAGAAUUUGUCUAUAACUACAAGCAAAAGAACAACUAAUUUCAAUAUUUCAUCAAUGGAAAGCCAAAAUCUACAACUACUUUCAAAUAUUUCAUCAAGACAUGAAGACAACUUAUAAAUCUCUACUUCUCAAAGCAAAAGAACAACUACUUUUAGAUUUUUAGUAACUUACUUGUUUCAUUCUUGGAGUUGGAGUUGGAGCUUCUUGUCCAAAAAAAGACCCAAUGGGACCUUAAAUUUAAAUAUUUAAACAACUUAAGCAAAAAGAUUUCAACAAAACUCAACAUGUAAGCAAGACAAUUAGACAAGUGAAAUUGUCGUCAAUGAGAUUGGAACUUUAGGCAACAGAUAGACAACAAAACUCAAUUACUAAUUUCAGAAACCUACCGGUGAACUUUGGAAACUCAAACCUACAACCAAUUUCAAUAUUUCAUCAAUAAUUCAACAUCAAGAUAUGAAGAUAACUAAUUUCAAGUUUCAACAAGUAAUAACUACAUGCUAACCUUAAUCAAAUAAACCUAAUUGCUAAUUUCAAGUUUUCAAGAAAAUGACACAUAAUUGAAAUAACUCUAAGAACUUUGCUUAAAUGCUUAAUGCUUACUUGUUGCAUUCUUGCAUGUUCAGAGGGAAGUCGCUGAAGCUGUGGAACUGCCGGCGUGGCAGUGAAGGCUGCCGGAAAAGUCGAUGGGAGUGGGUGGAGCAGGGUCGUGAGGGUGAGGCGCUAUGUGCCGCUGGACAGUGGCAUGUGCCUGUUUCUUUUUCAUUCCCUCAUCAGCUUAUCUGUAUCAUCCCAAGACUCAAAUUGAUUAAGAGGGUGUUUAACCUCUUGGGCUUUUUGUUGUUCUUUUUUUUUUAUCUUUUUACACUUAACUCUUUUUGUUUGGGUUGUCAAAUCUUUCAAAUUUAGACUCCUUUGUUGUAUUUUUUUAUCUUUUUACAUUUAGCUCUUUUUGUUUGGGUUGUCAAUCUUUCAAAUUUAGACUGUUUCUUUGGACAUAGAAACUUAAGUGUAGCCCAAGUAUUUUUCAAUGGUUGUAUUUAUAUGAAAAAAAAAUUAACACUAUUUAAGAAAAUUUGAGGAGUAGGUUGGGCCUAUACACAAGUCUCUAAUUGCAGUUUUGUAGUUGAACAACUUGAUGUUUUUCCAUCAUCGGUGUUAACGAUAAUCACUUUACCAUGUAUAUUUUAUAUUAGGCAUGUAAACCGGUCUAGAAUCAGACCGAACUGAAUACUUGGUUUCGGUUUUGAUUUGGUUCUACUAAGAAAUGUGUCAUCUAAGAAGGUGUUCGAAAUCGGAACCGGACCGGAACUGAAAACCAAAUAAGCCGUAAAUUGAAAACCGAAAACCGGACCAAAUACCAUUAUUUGGGUCCAAUUGGUUCUGACUCUGUUUCGGUUUUUCAGUUAAAAAGCUCAUCCCUACUCUAGACUAUUUACAGUACGAGCUCUAAGACAUAACAUUAUGGGCGCUUAAUCAAUAGCUCCCUUUCAUAUGAUAUAGAGUUUGAGCUCAAAUAUUUACUAGCAUAAAUGCUCUAUCGAGAGAGGAAAAAUGUAACAUCCCAAAAAUACGAUCCAAAAAUUCCGUUUAAAAUCAUUAAUAAAAACCAUAAUUAUCAACCAUUUCAUUCAUAAACCAAAAUCGUUAUAUCAAAUCAGAGUUUCAUCUCAAAACAUGUUCUUUUUAUCAGAGUAAACAUCUCAGGCUAAAACUUCUUGAUUGAGGAUUGGGUGAGUUGGGAGUUCAUAAAACGUUCCAACAUUUGGUUCACGUUUUCCUUGGCACCAGAUAACGGGUUUAGGGAACCAGGUUAGAGGUCCAGCUAGGACUCAAGUUCGAUUGUGUGUUAGGUCGAGUGUGUGUUCGACCCAAUAUGGAAGGUGUUGCCAGACUACGGGGGUAGCUGUAGCAUUCACUAACAGUCAGAUGGUAUAAAAAGUGUUGUAAGACUACGGGGGUAGCCAUAGCAUUCACUAACAGUCAGAUGGUAUGGAAAGUGUUGUAAGACUACGGGGGUAGCCGUAGCAUUCACUAACAGUCAGAUGGUAUGGAAAGUGUUGUAAGACUACGGGGGU